RNAcentral lists this non-coding RNA (46 nucleotides) under Trichobilharzia regenti. The record is from RNAcentral. Lineage: Eukaryota; Metazoa; Platyhelminthes; Trematoda; Strigeidida; Schistosomatidae.
GUACUGCUAAAGAGUCCUAAAUCAGGACGAAACAUCUGUCCAGUAC